AGAGUUUGAUCCUGGCUCAGAAUCAACGCUGGCGGCGCGCCUAACACAUGCAAGUCGAACGAGAAAGCGGGAGCAAUCUCGCAAGUACAGUGGCGUACGGGUGAGUAACACGUGGAUUAUCUGCCCUGGAGUGGGGAAUAACGCUGGGAAACCGGCGCUAAUACCGCAUAUUCCCGAGAGGGGAAAGCAGCAAUGCGCUCGAGGAGGAGUCCGCGGCCGAUUAGCUAGUUGGCAGGGUAAAAGCCUACCAAGGCUAUGAUCGGUAGCCGGCCUGAGAGGGCACACGGCCACACUGGCACUGAAACACGGGCCAGACUCCUACGGGAGGCAGCAGUGGGGAAUCUUGCACAAUGGGGGAAACCCUGAUGCAGCGACGCCGCGUGAGCGAUGAAGCCCUUCGGGGUGUAAAGCUCUUUCGGCAGGGACGAUUAUGACGGUACCUGCAGAAGCAGCUGCGGCUAACUACGUGCCAGCAGCCGCGGUAAUACGUAGGCAGCAAGCGUUGUUCGGAGUUACUGGGCGUAAAGGGUGUGUAGGCGGCCUGUUAAGUUCCGUGUGAAAUCUCCCGGCUCAACCGGGAGGGUGCGCGGAAAACUGGCGGGCUAGAGUACGGGAUGGGAGAGUAGAAUUCCUGGUGUAGCGGUGAAAUGCGUAGAUAUCAGGAGGAAUACCGGUGGUGUAGACGGCUCUCUGGACCGUAACUGACGCUGAGACACGAAAGCGUGGGUAGCAAACAGGAUUAGAUACCCUGGUAGUCCACGCCCUAAACGAUGCAUAUUUGGUGUAGGUCAUUCAGUUGAUCUGUGCCGGAGCUAACGCGUUAAAUAUGCCGCCUGGGGAGUACAGUCGCAAGGCUGAAACUCAAAGGAAUUGACGGGGGCCCGCACAAGCGGUGGAGCAUGUGGGUUCAAUUCGACGCAACGCGAAGAACCUUACCUGGGCUCGAACGGCUGGUCAACGAUCGUGGAAACACGGUUACUCCCGCAG
This 987-nucleotide ribosomal RNA is filed under the name uncultured bacterium. Its description in RNAcentral is "bacterial SSU rRNA". It matches the Rfam family "Bacterial small subunit ribosomal RNA", at positions 8 to 1023 of the family's 1533-position model. The record is from RNAcentral.